AUCGGUGAUGGAUGGGGAUGCGUCUGAUUAGCUUGUUGGCGGGGUAACGGCCCACCAAGGCGACGAUCAGUAGGGGUUCUGAGAGGAAGGUCCCCCACAUUGGAACUGAGACACGGUCCAAACUCCUACGGGAGGCAGCAGUGAGGAAUAUUGGUCAAUGGACGAGAGUCUGAACCAGCCAAGUAGCGUGCAGGAUGACGGCCCUAUGGGUUGUAAACUGCUUUUAUAAGGGAAUAAAGUGAGUCUCGUGAGUCUUUUUGCAUGUACCUUAUGAAUAAGGACCGGCUAAUUCCGUGCCAGCAGCCGCGGUAAUACGGAAGGUCCGGGCGUUAUCCGGAUUUAUUGGGUUUAAAGGGAGCGUAGGCCGGAGAUUAAGCGUGUUGUGAAAUGUAGACGCUCAACGUCUGCACUGCAGCGCGAACUGGUUUCCUUGAGUACGCACAAAGUGGGCGGAAUUCGUGGUGUAGCGGUGAAAUGCUUAGAUAUCACGAAGAACUCCGAUUGCGAAGGCAGCUCACUGGAGCGCAACUGACGCUGAAGCUCGAAAGUGCGGG
Molecule: ribosomal RNA, 554 nt
Filed under: Segatella copri
Lineage: Bacteria; Pseudomonadati; Bacteroidota; Bacteroidia; Bacteroidales; Prevotellaceae
Description: bacterial SSU rRNA
Rfam family: Bacterial small subunit ribosomal RNA
Source: RNAcentral